ACCCUUCAACACCCAUUGCUCCUAUGGGUGUGGACCCACAACAUUCCUUGAAAUGCCUUAUUGCUGAGAUCAUUUUACAGAUGAAGAAACUGAGGCCAAAAGGGUCAAGUGAUUUUCCCUGGGUCAUCUAGUUGGUAAGUGUCUGAGGCCAGAUCUGACCUCAGGAAGAGGAAUCUUUCCCCUGGACUCUAUCCACUGUACCACCUAGCUGCUC
RNAcentral lists this long non-coding RNA (214 nucleotides) under Monodelphis domestica (gray short-tailed opossum). RNAcentral's name for it is "lncRNA (ENSMODG00000033111.2)". Lineage: Eukaryota; Metazoa; Chordata; Mammalia; Didelphimorphia; Didelphidae. The record is from RNAcentral.